Uranotaenia lowii is the source of this 2970-nucleotide RNA transcript. RefSeq lists it as uncharacterized. The transcript is spliced from 4 exons. The record is from RefSeq and is a predicted model, not a curated record. NCBI's taxonomy places the organism in Eukaryota, Metazoa, Arthropoda, Insecta, Diptera, Culicidae.
GAGAAAAAAAAUUAUAUAUAAGUUGCAGUGUUUGCCUUUAAUAAUUUAAAAAAAAAGUUUAAUUUCAGUAUGCAUGUGAAAAAAAACAAAACAAAUGCUGACUCAAAAACAAAGACAAACAAAAAAAACUUCGGUUAAGUACAUUACACACUAACAUUGCAAUUUUUUACUAAAACUUAUUCCAUACAUUUAGAAGAUGUUUUGCUUGAACCACUGCAGAGAAAAUUAUUUAAUAAUCUACACAGUAAGAUUAGCACCACAACAGUAAUACAGAGGACUUUCUUACCAGAUAAUGUGUUCCUUUUGUUUGAACUUGUUACAACAAUAUGGGCAUUACUAGAGCGACUGUAUUACCGAACAUGGUCCGUUAGGUGCCACUUCUGGUUAAAGCUUCUUUUGGUAACAGCUUUGCUGAUGGGUUUGCUGUUGACGGAUGUAGUUUACUGGAAGUAAAAAAGUGGAAUGCUUGAGUUGUGUUUAAUGGUUUAGUGAAGAUUUCAGUUCUGUGCCUAGCGUUUUAGUUAGACUUCAUAAUUUAUAUCGUUUUUAGGAUACAUUUGUGAAUUAAAAAGCAAUUUCAAAAUUACAAAUUACAUUCAAUUGUCUAAAAUUAUUGCUACCACCAAACAAUAGUUACUUCAAAGAUAGACAACUAAAUGAUGAAGUAGAUCAUACGAAUUGAACAUUUCAACCCUAUAAGUUGAUUAUAAAAGCCAUACAUGAAAUUCAAAAACACUCUUCGAGUUGGUAAGCAAUAUUCUAGAAAAUAAUAUCCCAAGUGGUGGCCUAAAGUAAUGUGUUUGACGUGGUAUGGUCUGUAUCAGAAACCGAUUCCAAUACUAUAAAUUCAGGCGUAUUCAGAAUGAAGUCUUCCACACUGAUACUGGUCCCGUCAGUAUAUUUUUUAAUAAACAUUGGGAAAUAUAUCAUCUAUAGAUAGUCUUUGUGAAUCGGAAAAAUAACUAAAUUGAAUCUAUCAAAAAGAACUAUUGUUUCGAAUUAAAAAAAAUUGAAAUCUUAAAUGAUGAAAAUUGCUCUGAUGGCUCAAGAACGUUCGCAUAAGCACCUAUGCUUUUUAGAAACAAAUCAAAAUAGCAACUUACAUUCAUAAUAACUAUGGCCAACCCUGGCCGUAGUAUUCUGGUCGCAAACGGUUGAAUUAAGCCCAUUAACGGUCUAGUUGACUGGCCCAUUAGCAACAUCACGGAACGCUAAAAAUUAAAUGGAAUCCUUGUGUUAGGGUGAAACAUCGAACUUCGUUUGCUGGGAUCGAACACUUCCGGAACGUUUCGGCAGUCGAUCCGUUUCGGUGUUGCACAUGGGUCGGUAACAACAUCUUGAACUUUGGCUUCACUUCCGGAAGAUGUUACAGCGGUGACGUGUGUGGGAGGGAUGGGAAGUUCCUUGAGCGGACACGUGUGAUGCACACUACCGCUGCGGCCGGAUGACUUAGCGCAAAUUCUGUAACUCGGGAUGAUCGCUCAGCUUUUUUGAUAAAAAAAUUAUUACUGCUGAAAAGACACUGAACAUCACUGUUACCUAUAGGCGAUUCUAAAUAAAAACUGCCGGUACUGCUCGCAGCAGAUUCAAAGAGAUCCGUAAAAAAUAUUGAUCCUGAAAUAAGUAUUAGGUACAAAUAAAAAGGUUAGUCAGUUUGUAAAGAUAAUCAAAUGGUUCACUCACCAGAAACGGAAUCAAAUUAUCGCUCGCCUUCGAGAACACUUUCGAUCCACUACACCCAAAGGAAUUUUGAAAUUAAUUCUACGGGAUUUUUCACGUAGAUUAAGCUUUUGUGGCAUCUCGUCGAUUCUACGUGCGUCCUGUUGUUACUACUUUAAUUCCCCACAACUUUUUCAUGAAUUUCACGUAAAAAAGAUGGAUGACUUGAAAUCCAAUUUGAUAAUUUUUUACUGAGCGGGAAAGAAAUUUUCAUGGGUAAAUUCCUAUAAGAAAAAAGCCGUCAUUUUUUGAUAGUGUCUAUUUUGACUUGGCGAGAAAAUCAGAAGUGUAGCAUAAUAAUAUUAUCAAUUUUUCAGCAUAAUUAUGUGUAUUUCCCGUGUAUUUGAAUCACGAAUGCUAGUGAAAAUGCCUCCCAUUUUUUCAAACAGCCGUCCGUAAACAAAAAGAGUUGGUUCCGGAAUGCUGAAUCGCUACGGGGCGGAGAAGGUUCAAAACAACAAAAGGAAGCAUCCUAUUUAGAACGAUUAUCAGAUGAGGAUUUAUGUAUUUAACAUCAAGAAACGCGAUACAAUCAGCUGGAGAUUUACCGCAAGCAGAAAAGUGGAAGGAAAAUGGGUCAGCUCCGGUUUUAGCAAAAGAAUAAUGAGCUCUACCAACUAUCCGAACGCACCGCUCGGAAUCCGGAUGGCUAGUUACAGAACAGGAAAGGAUACGUUUCGAAUUAGGACUGUCUCAAAACUUCUGUUGAGAAGAUGUGAAUUCGCCCGACUGUUGCUCGAUUAUCAAGCCGUUGUUGCGCUCUGCUGCAACUACGUCAUGCAUUGCCAGGGAGCAAAGUUUUUCGUUCCUGCAAAGCCCAGCUGGAAUAGGAGGUGGCAAAUUCCUCUAGAUUGCAACUAUCGAACCAGCAACAAACUUGGUGGGAACAACAUAAGCAGCGACAACAAAUAUAUUAUACACCCUGCACCAUCGUUUCAACGACGACCAAGGAUUGGUGGCUAUGUCUAAGGAGGAAAACCGGAACAGCAAAAACAUGGUGGCCUUGGAACAAUAUUUACUCAUACAGUAAGUUUUUGUAAUUAGGCAUAAUGUUUUGUUAAGUAGUGAUUUAUUGUAUGUUAAUUUAGUCGGUUGUGUGCGUAAUAAACAAUUCAAAAUAAAUUUUAUUUCGAUUUUCAAUUAUUGAGAAAGGCCGUUUGAAUAACUGAAAUAAUAAUAAAUAAAAGAAACGAUAGAGCUGACUAUAAUGAAACCUCAAUGCUAAACCAAUUUCACGUAAUUUUCAUCGUC